GCUUUUGGUUCAGUGGUAGAAUGCUCGCCUGCCACGCGGGCGCUCCGGGUUCGAUUCCUGGCCGAUGCA
RNAcentral lists this transfer RNA (69 nucleotides) under Cordylochernes scorpioides. Its description in RNAcentral is "tRNA-Gly". It matches the Rfam family "tRNA". From Rfam's summary of the family: Transfer RNA (tRNA) molecules are approximately 80 nucleotides in length. The record is from RNAcentral. Lineage: Eukaryota; Metazoa; Arthropoda; Arachnida; Pseudoscorpiones; Chernetidae.